GGGGUCUUGGCUCAACUCGGCAGAGCGUCUGGCUCCAGACCAGAAGGUUGGGGGUUCAAAUCCCUCAGACCCCA
This 74-nucleotide transfer RNA is filed under the name Candidatus Aenigmatarchaeota archaeon. Its description in RNAcentral is "tRNA-Trp". It matches the Rfam family "tRNA". Rfam says of the family: Transfer RNA (tRNA) molecules are approximately 80 nucleotides in length. Their secondary structure includes four short double-helical elements and three loops (D, anti-codon, and T loops). Lineage: Archaea; Nanobdellati; Candidatus Aenigmatarchaeota. The record is from RNAcentral.